AAGGGGUAUCGAGGGGUUGCUUGAACUGCCGAAGCAGUUCAAGAGGAAAGUCCGGGCUACAGCAAGGCAGGGGUCAGUCUAACGGACUGCCGUCGUAAGACGAGGGAAAGUGCCACAGAAAAGAGACCGCCGAUGGUCGGGCGUGGAGACCCGACACAGGCAAGGGUGAAAAGGUGGGGUAAGAGCCCACCGGGGGGGUGGCGACACUCCCCGCAGGGUAAACCCACCCCGUAGCAAGGAGGGAUGGUAAAGCCUUGCACUUGUAACCCUCCGCACAACCGGUAUCGCGAGAUACGCGGUUAGAUAAAUAACCCCAUAAACAGAACCCGGCUUACAGAUACCCCUUCUUC
RNAcentral lists this RNase P RNA (350 nucleotides) under Campylobacterota bacterium. RNAcentral's name for it is "Epsilonproteobacteria bacterium (hydrothermal vent metagenome) RNase P RNA component class A". It matches the Rfam family "Bacterial RNase P class A". Rfam says of the family: Ribonuclease P (RNase P) is a ubiquitous endoribonuclease, found in archaea, bacteria and eukarya as well as chloroplasts and mitochondria. Its best characterised activity is the generation of mature 5'-ends of tRNAs by cleaving the 5'-leader elements of precursor-tRNAs. Cellular RNase Ps are ribonucleoproteins. The record is from RNAcentral. Lineage: Bacteria; Pseudomonadati; Campylobacterota.